RNAcentral lists this ribosomal RNA (253 nucleotides) under uncultured bacterium. Its description in RNAcentral is "partial 16S ribosomal RNA". It matches the Rfam family "Bacterial small subunit ribosomal RNA", at positions 524 to 776 of the family's 1533-position model. The record is from RNAcentral.
UACGUAGGGGGCUAGCGUUGCUCGGAAUUACUGGGCGUAAAGCGCACGUAGGCGGAUCCUUAAGUCGGUGGUGAAAUCCUGAAGCUCAACUUCAGAACUGCCUUCGAUACUGGGGACCUUGAGUUCGGGAGAGGUGAGUGGAACUGCGAGUGUAGAGGUGAAAUUCGUAGAUAUUCGCAAGAACACCAGUGGCGAAGGCGGCUCACUGGCGCGAUACUGACGCUGAGGUGCGAAAGCGUGGGGAGCAAACAGG